RNAcentral lists this ribosomal RNA (303 nucleotides) under uncultured bacterium. RNAcentral describes it as "partial 16S ribosomal RNA". It matches the Rfam family "Bacterial small subunit ribosomal RNA", at positions 507 to 807 of the family's 1533-position model. The record is from RNAcentral.
AGCAGUAGCCGCGGUAAUACAGAGGAUGCAAGCGUUAUCCGGAAUGAUUGGGCGUAAAGCGUCUGUAGGUGGCUUUUCAAGUCCGCCGUCAAAUCCCAGGGCUCAACCCUGGACAGGCGGUGGAAGCUACCAAGCUGGAGUACGGUAGGGGCAGAGGGAAUUUCCAGUGGAGCGGUGAAAUGCGUUGAGAUCGAAAAGAACACCAACAGCGAAAGCACUCUGCUGGGCCGACACUGACACUGAGAGACGAAAGCUAGGGGAGCAAAUGGGAUUAGAGACCCCAGUAGUCCCUGUCUCUUAUAC